RNAcentral lists this non-coding RNA (24 nucleotides) under Arabidopsis thaliana (thale cress). The record is from RNAcentral. Lineage: Eukaryota; Viridiplantae; Streptophyta; Magnoliopsida; Brassicales; Brassicaceae.
UGCUAGAAAUACGACGAGAACAUG